This 466-nucleotide ribosomal RNA is filed under the name uncultured bacterium. RNAcentral describes it as "partial 16S ribosomal RNA". It matches the Rfam family "Bacterial small subunit ribosomal RNA", at positions 28 to 507 of the family's 1533-position model. The record is from RNAcentral.
GACGAACGCUGGCGGCGCGCCUAACACAUGCAAGUCGAACGAGCGAGAGAGAGCUUGCUUUCUCGAGCGAGUGGCGAACGGGUGAGUAACGCGUGAGGAACCUGCCUCAAAGAGGGGGACAACAGUUGGAAACGACUGCUAAUACCGCAUAAGCCCACGGCUCGGCAUCGAGCAGGGGGAAAAGGAGCAAUCCGCUUUGAGAUGGCCUCGCGUCCGAUUAGCUAGUUGGUGAGGUAACGGCCCACCAAGGCGACGAUCGGUAGCCGGACUGAGAGGUUGAACGGCCACAUUGGGACUGAGACACGGCCCAGACUCCUACGGGAGGCAGCAGUGGGGAAUAUUGCACAAUGGGGGAAACCCUGAUGCAGCGACGCCGCGUGGGGGAAGAAGGUCUUCGGAUUGUAAACUCCUGUUGUUGGGGAAGAUAAUGACGGUACCCAACAAGGAAGUGACGGCUAACUACGUG